ACGCGCAUGAAUGGAUUA
This 18-nucleotide small nuclear RNA is filed under the name Arabidopsis thaliana (thale cress). RNAcentral describes it as "snRNA_00456". Lineage: Eukaryota; Viridiplantae; Streptophyta; Magnoliopsida; Brassicales; Brassicaceae. The record is from RNAcentral.